RNAcentral lists this ribosomal RNA (445 nucleotides) under uncultured bacterium. RNAcentral describes it as "partial 16S ribosomal RNA". It matches the Rfam family "Bacterial small subunit ribosomal RNA", at positions 43 to 523 of the family's 1533-position model. The record is from RNAcentral.
CAGGCCUAACACAUGCAAGUCGAACGCGAAAGGGACUUCGGUCCUUAGUAGAGUGGCGCACGGGUGAGUAACGCGUGGGAACGUACCCUGGAGUGGGGAAUAACCAUUGGAAACGAUGGUUAAGACCGCAUAAUGUCUUCGGACCAAAGAUUUAUCGCUCUUGGAUCGGCCCGCGUUAGAUUAGUUUGUUGGUGGGGUAAUGGCCUACCAAGACUACGAUCUAUAGCUGGUUUGAGAGGACGACCAGCCACACUGGGACUGAGACACGGCCCAGACUCCUACGGGAGGCAGCAGUGGGGAAUAUUGGACAAUGGGCGCAAGCCUGAUCCAGCCAUGCCGCGUGAGUGAUGAAGGCCUUAGGGUUGUAAAGCUCUUUCAACGGUGAAGAUGAUGACGGUAACCGUAGAAGAAGCCCCGGCUAACUUCGUGCCAGCAGCCGCCGUAA